Molecule: long non-coding RNA, 1983 nt
Organism: Triticum aestivum (bread wheat)
Lineage: Eukaryota; Viridiplantae; Streptophyta; Magnoliopsida; Poales; Poaceae
Exons: 3
Source: RefSeq, a predicted model, not a curated record
UCAUCGUGUGGACCUUAUCCAUGGAGCUGCAAUAUAUGGACGUAUACCCAACUUGGCCACUACUCAUCUAUUCCCGUAAUUAAGCCUCACACCACGUAAUUUCCUCAUCUCCCCAAAUCAAGGAGAACGAAAUCCAAGGAGCCGCCCCUCCCCAUUAAGCUGUCCAUGGCAAUACUCAUCGAGCAAAUCGACCCAUCGUCCUGCAUGUGCCUCCGCAAGCAUGGAACCGGCGACGUCGCCACCGGCCUCGGCCUCCUGCCUCUAGAUUCUCCUCCUCCAGCCCUCCCGAACUCUGUCUAGAUCUUCACAUCGACGGCGAGUAGGAGCACACCAGGGUCGAGGCUUACCGGCUGUGGGCACGGCGGUGUUGUGGUGGUGACGAGCGCGCCGGCAAGAGGGCCAAGCCAUGGCCGGAAUCCCACCGCCGCGAUCAAUGGCUUCUCAAGAUGGAGACGAAGGCUCGGCUGUGGCUGGUGCAGGGAAUGUUACCUCAGUUGAUCCUUCGUCUCAAUGUGCUAUACCAACAUCUGAAGCUACUCCGAUAUCUCAAGCUGCUACUCCAACAUCUGAAGUUGCUACUCUAACAUCUCAAGCUACAGCUAGCAGAGCUGGUUCGAAGAGGAAGCGAACAUCGGCAGUAUGGGAUGAGAUGGAAGAGAAAUUCUAAAAUGGACAAUGGAAAGCCGAGUGCAAUCAUUGUCACAAAAAAUUUACUGCAGGACCUAGAGCUGGCACAACUCACUUGCGUUUACAUUUGGAAUCUUGUCCAGAUAAGCAUGCACCCAUUGGCCCAAAGCAACAAAAAUUGAGGUUGACAAAAGGGUGAAGGUGGCAAAGUUAAUAUGGAAAAUAUCAUUUUUGACCAAGAGAAGUCCAGGAGAGAUCUUGCAUUGAUGAUAUGUGAACAUGAGUAUCCUCUAUCUAUUGUGGAUAAGUUUGAGAAGUAUUGGAAGGAUAAGUUUGAGAAGUAUUGGAAGGAUAUCCAUGGUCUUAUGUCCGUUGUAACAGUUCUUGAUCCAAGGUAUAAACUUCAUAUCCUCAAUGCUCUUUAUGGUCCCCUCUAUGGAAGAGAGCAUGCAGCCGCAGAAAUAGAAAAGGUGAAGAAGUUAUUGAUUCAAUUGGUGAAGCAAUAUAAAGAUGAAGUUGGAGGUGAGGAUGCAUGGGAUGCUUCUGUUGUUGAGCAACUUGGAGAAGAAGAUGAAGCCAUGAAACUCUAUGAUCUGUAUUUGUCUAGUCACCCCACUGUCCCUUCUUCUUCAAUCCAUACAGAAUUGGACUUGUAUUUAGAAGAAGCUCGUCUACCUAGAACGCAAGAAUUGGAUAUCAUCAAUUGGUGGAAGGUUAGCGGCUCUAGGUUUCCUACCUUGCAAAAACUUGCUCGUGAUAUAUUGCCUAUUCCCAUAACAUCGGUGGCUUCCGAAUGUGCGUUUAGCACUAGUGGCAGAGUACUCGCACAUCGUAGUAGACUUACUCCUAGUGUGGCUGAAGCUCUCAUGUGCAUGCAAGCUUGAUCUCGUGCAGAUCUGUUAGGUGGUUGGAAUUCUACACUCUUUGCUACUCCCUCCAUCCGGAAAUACUUGUCAUCAAAAUGAAUAAAAGGAGAUGUAUUUAAAUGUAUUUUAGUUCUAGAUACACCCCUUUUUGUCCAUUUUGAUGACAAGUUUUUUCGGACGAAGGGAGUACAUUUCAGAGUGUUCUCGAGGAUGAAGAUGAAGAGAUGGUAAAUUACUUAAAUGCUUUGAUCUUAAAUUUUGGGAUUAUAGCUGAAUAAUUUAAUCAUGUGUCGUAUCAUCUUGUUCAUGUGAAGGAUGAGUCUACUUCAAUCACCACCCAAGAGUGAAGAUAUUGCUGCUCUUUGUGCCGGGUUGGAACUUGGAGCUGAUGGCUGCUAUUUGUGCUAGCUGGUGGCUCGUGUUGUGUCUGCUAUCUGCUAUAGCAGCUGGUUCUGCUAGCUGUCGUUUGUGUUGGCUGAUCGUUGCCUCG